Molecule: ribosomal RNA, 980 nt
Filed under: uncultured organism
Description: bacterial SSU rRNA
Rfam family: Bacterial small subunit ribosomal RNA
Source: RNAcentral
UGAGUAUCGCGUUUGCAACCUACCUUUAACUGGAGAAUAGCCCGAAGAAAUUCGGAUUAAUGCUCCAUAAUAUCAAGAGAAUGCAUAUUCUUUUGAUUAAAGCUCCGGCGGUUAAAGAUGGGCAUGCGUGCCAUUAGCUUGUUGGUGAGGUAACGGCUCACCAAGGCAACGAUGGCUAGGGGUUCUGAGAGGAUGAUCCCCCACACUGGUACUGAGACACGGACCAGACUCCUACGGGAGGCAGCAGUGAGGAAUAUUGGUCAAUGGGCGAAAGCCUGAACCAGCCAUGCCGCGUGCAGGAUGACGGCGCUAUGCGUUGUAAACUGCUUUUCUGCUCCAAGAACCCCCCGAUCGUGAUCGGGGUUGACGGUAGAGCAGGAAUAAGCAUCGGCUAACUCCGUGCCAGCAGCCGCGGUAAUACGGAGGAUGCAAGCGUUAUCCGGAUUUAUUGGGUUUAAAGGGUGCGUAGGCGGGAUAAUAAGUCAGUGGUGAAAUCCUGCGGCUUAACCGUAGAAUUGUCAUUGAUACUGUUAUUCUUGAGUUCAGUUGAGGUGGGCGGAAUGUAUAAUGUAGCGGUGAAAUGCUUAGAUAUUAUACAGAACACCGAUUGCGAAGGCAGCUCACUAAGCUGAUACUGACGCUGAGGCACGAAAGCGUGGGGAGCGAACAGGAUUAGAUACCCUGGUAGUCCACGCUGUAAACGAUGAUCACUCGCUGUUGGCAAUACAUCGUCAGCGGCUGAGCGAAAGCAUUAAGUGAUCCACCUGGGGAGUACGUCGGCAACGAUGAAACUCAAAGGAAUUGACGGGGGCCCGCACAAGCGGUGGAACAUGUGGUUUAAUUCGAUGAUACGCGAGGAACCUUACCUGGGCUUAAAUGCAGAACGACGGUUCCCGAAAGGGAUCCUUCUUCGGACGGACUGCAAGGUGCUGCAUGGUUGUCGUCAGCUCGUGCCGUGAGGUGUCGGGUUAAGUCCCAUA